AGUGUCUCUCCAAGGACCAGGAGAAACACUUACUUUUCAAAUUCCUUAUUCUAACUCUGUGCGGCGUAGACCCUUACUCCUCACAGGGAUUCUUGAGGCGCACGUCUGGACUUGUUAUUUCUCUGAAUCUUAGAGUCUUAGAUCCGAAAACGGCCAGUUCUGAGGGUGAGGACCGCAACUGUCUGUGUUUCUUCUGCUGAAUACCCAGUGCCCAGCUUAGGGCCCAGUAGAGAGAGAAAAUUGGUCCCUGGAUUGAUGCCUUUGAUGGAAUCAAAUUGAAGAAGGUAGAGAAGGCCGUGUGAAGGUAAAGCAGAGAUUUGUAGAUGUUGACCUUGAAAACUGGAGAGAUGUGGCCACAAGCCAAGGUAUGCGAAUAGUGGAAGCUGAAAGAAUCAAGGAACCCAAUUUUCCCCUAGAGUCUUCAGAGGGAGCUGGGCCCCGAGGAUGCCUUGAUUUUGGCAGAUGAUACUCGUUGGACGUCUGGCGUCCAGAAUUGUAAGAGUAUACGUUUCCGUUGUUUUAAGCCACGCAGUUUGUGGUAAUUUGUUACAGCAGCCACAGGAAACUAACACCCAGGCAGUGCACAAUGAAUUCCAUAUGAACAAUUCCAGUAUAGGAAAUUGUUAGAAAGCUUAUUUUCAUUGGAAUAUUGGAUUAAAGCGCUUACCAGCAUUGAAUUUCUUGGAGAUGAAUGGCAAAACAAACUCUAGCAUUAGCUUUCUUU
This 724-nucleotide long non-coding RNA is filed under the name Equus caballus (horse). RNAcentral's name for it is "lncRNA (ENSECAG00000036651.2)". The record is from RNAcentral. Lineage: Eukaryota; Metazoa; Chordata; Mammalia; Perissodactyla; Equidae.